UGGGGAAUAUUGCACAAUGGGCGCAAGCCUGAUGCAGCCAUGCCGCGUGUGUGAAGAAGGCCUUCGGGUUGUAAAGCACUUUCAGCGAGGAGGAAGGGUUCAGUGUUAAUAGCACUGUUCAUUGACGUUACUCGCAGAAGAAGCACCGGCUAACUCCGUGCCAGCAGCCGCGGUAAUACGGAGGGUGCAAGCGUUAAUCGGAAUUACUGGGCGUAAAGCGCACGCAGGCGGUUUGUUAAGUCAGAUGUGAAAUCCCCGCGCUUAACG
Molecule: ribosomal RNA, 267 nt
Filed under: uncultured bacterium
Lineage: Bacteria
Description: partial 16S ribosomal RNA
Rfam family: Bacterial small subunit ribosomal RNA
Source: RNAcentral